Molecule: long non-coding RNA, 255 nt
Filed under: Capsicum annuum
Lineage: Eukaryota; Viridiplantae; Streptophyta; Magnoliopsida; Solanales; Solanaceae
Description: long non-coding RNA (CANN_LNC016088)
Source: RNAcentral
UACUUUAAAGACUCGGCUGCACAACCCUCUUUAAAUCCCAAUUAAAACAAUUAUCACAUAAUCCCAUUCAUUGAACCACAAUACAUAUUUUGGCAUACAUUGUUGGUGUGGUCAUACCAACUACACUCGCAAGGUAACAUCAACAUGAAAAAACAAUUUCAUUACUUGGGGAAUUCACAACCCGUCAUUGUUCAAUUAAGCAAUAACUUUUGAAAAUACCCAACCACAAGGUUCAAUUCAAUAUCAUAAUGCAAU